RNAcentral lists this ribosomal RNA (467 nucleotides) under uncultured bacterium. RNAcentral's name for it is "partial 16S ribosomal RNA". It matches the Rfam family "Bacterial small subunit ribosomal RNA", at positions 28 to 507 of the family's 1533-position model. The record is from RNAcentral.
GAUGAACGCUGGCGGCGUGCUUAACACAUGCAAGUCGAACGGUGAAGCAGAGCUUGCUCUGUGGAUCUGUGGCGAACGGGUGAGUAACACGUGAGCAACCUGCCCCUGACUCUGGGAUAAGCGCUGGAAACGGCGUCUAAUACUGGAUAUGAGCUGCGACCGCAUGGUCAGCAGUUGGAAAGAUUUUUCGGUCUGGGAUGGGCUCACGGCCUAUCAGCUUGUUGGUGAGGUAAUGGCUCACCAAGGCGUCGACGGGUAGCCGGCCUGAGAGGGUGACCGGCCACACUGGGACUGAGACACGGCCCAGACUCCUACGGGAGGCAGCAGUGGGGAAUAUUGCACAAUGGGCGAAAGCCUGAUGCAGCAACGCCGCGUGAGGGAUGACGGCCUUCGGGUUGUAAACCUCUUUUAGCAGGGAAGAAGCGAAAGUGACGGUACCUGCAGAAAAAGCGCCGGCUAACUACGUG